AGAGUUUGAUCMUGGCUCAGGACGAACGCUGGCGGCGUGCCUAAUACAUGCAAGUCGAGCGGACUGGAUUGGAGCUUGCUCUGAUUCGGUCAGCGGCGGACGGGUGAGUAACACGUGGGCAACCUGCCCGCAAGACCGGGAUAACUCCGGGAAACCGGAGCUAAUACCGGAUAACACCGAAGACCGCAUGGUCUUYGGUUGAAAGGCGGCSYWWGGCUGUCACUUGCGGAUGGGCCCGCGGCGCAUUAGCUAGUUGGUGAGGUAACGGCUCACCAAGGCGACGAUGCGUAGCCGGCCUGAGAGGGUGACCGGCCACACUGGGACUGAGACACGGCCCAGACUCCUACGGGAGGCAGCAGUAGGGAAUCUUCCGCAAUGGGCGAAAGCCUGACGGAGCGACGCCGCGUGAGCGAAGAAGGCCUUCGGGUCGUAAAGCUCUGUUGUGAGGGACGAAGGAGCGCCGUUCGAAGAGGGCGGCGCGGUGACGGUACCUCACGAGGAAGCCCCGGCUAACUACGUGCCAGCCGCCGCGGUAAUWCA
Molecule: ribosomal RNA, 540 nt
Filed under: Geobacillus sp. enrichment culture clone d1017-3_OTU1
Lineage: Bacteria; Bacillati; Bacillota; Bacilli; Caryophanales; Anoxybacillaceae
Description: bacterial SSU rRNA
Rfam family: Bacterial small subunit ribosomal RNA
Source: RNAcentral